GCAGUAAUAAUUUUAGGAACAACAUACAUAAUUGGCGUCCCUCUUUCAGUUGUUUUGGGAUUUGUUGUUCACUUGAGAGCAAAGGGCUUUUGGAUCGGGUUCAUCAUCGCAUUGUGCGUUCAAGAUUUGAUAUUCGGAAUGCUAUUUUUAGGCAUUGAUUGGGAGAUUCUGGCUGCAAAAGCUAAAGAGAGAGUACAUAUUUCCAUCUUGCAAAAAGAGAACGUCUACAAUAGAGAGGGUCAGACAGAUAUAGGGCAACUUAAAGGUAUAAGGAGCACGGUAACGGAAGAAGAUCAUGUUUGUCCACCCCACAUGCCUUGAUCAGAAAAUCAAGGGACGUGGACAAAGUUUCACCUACUUUGCUCCU
This is a long non-coding RNA of Lolium rigidum, 367 nucleotides long. RefSeq lists it as uncharacterized. The transcript is spliced from 3 exons. NCBI's taxonomy places the organism in Eukaryota, Viridiplantae, Streptophyta, Magnoliopsida, Poales, Poaceae. The record is from RefSeq and is a predicted model, not a curated record.